Molecule: RNA transcript, 2224 nt
Organism: Ruditapes philippinarum (Manila clam)
Lineage: Eukaryota; Metazoa; Mollusca; Bivalvia; Venerida; Veneridae
Exons: 5
Source: RefSeq, a predicted model, not a curated record
AGCAAACAUUCCCAUAUCGGGCCGAUAUCGGCUACAUGUCGGAAUAUAGAUGUCGGUUACCGAUAUCGGGCCGAUAUCGGGCCGAUAUAUAUAAUUGCACUGUGAAGUAUUUUUUCCAACUAUUGAGUAUUCAAUGGAUUAUUAAUGUUAAUCCAUUUAGUAUUUCAUAUUGUAAACAUAUUACAAAGUGUGCCAGUCGAUAGAUCAAAAUUUAAUCGAUUUCGUUUGCGAUUUGCACAAUAGCGUAUUUUACCGCCGCACCGUUCAUCCGGGUCUUUUAAAGUCUGGCGCGAUUUGGAAUCCAACGGCGAAACAAGAGAUCUGAAAAAAAUCAACCUUUUAUCUGGCUUCCUGCAAGACUGUACUCGUCAUCUGAGGAUGAGCCAGAGGUGCCAAUAUCCCCAGCAUCCCCGUGUCAGAAUAACAUGUGCAGCCUUCCACAGAGGUCAUCCCCAUUGAAGGCUGGCUGCUUUGAAACAAGUCUGGCUGGGUCCCACUCCCAGCAACCUGUUCCUGCCACUGUACAUACAAGUACAGCGCCUGCCAUGAGUACGAGUACCCCUUCUGUGAGAGACUGCGCGUCAGCUACCAGUACCAGUGUUACCGGGACUCCACGUUCUGGAGUGGCCCGGGAUAUCAUAAUGUUUACACUAAUGGAAGCCAUGUCCAGACGUCGGGUUGAGCUCCUGGAAACCAUGAACCAGGUGCUGGGCAUUGUUUCGAAGAUGGCCACGGUGGGGGUGUUAGGUUGUCAGAGAAACCCGAAAACCUCAACUUACCUGCAUCCACCAGCGAGGAGCUAGAGGCCCUUGAGGCGGAACUAGAGGAGGGAGAAUGUUUUAAUGGCUUGGUUUCGUAUCUAUCAGCGCAAGGCGGGGUCUUUAAGGCAGACAUGUUGAGGCGAUAAUGAGGCAAUUCUUGACAAACCAGUUGGCAGUCCAGUUCAACUGGUUUGGAAAGAAGGGGAAAAGAACCUUUGGAAAACUCAAGCUGGCCCAGGCAGUGACAAAAGCAGUUAUGAAGUGCAAGAAGUGCACAGCAGUCGAGGUGGAACUUUAACUAGGAUGGCGAGUGACAGGGACAGGGGCGUAAGAAGCGCAAAAGACCACCAUCCAUGGGUGAAAGUUUUCAGGCUUAAUCCUGAUUUGACACAUAGAAAAUUCAAUAUUUUUCUUGUUAGUUUCUUUUGAAACUGCUUGUCUAAAUGCUGUUUAGGAUUUUCAAAAUUUUCCACUUUCAUCCAUCUUUCACACAUCUGAAAUGACGCAAAAUUAAACAACUCUCUAAAUGACUUUGGGGAUUAACAUUUGCAAUCACCUUUUUUUGUUUUUUUGCUAGCAGAAUACUCUUCUAGUAUUGUACAUUUUUUUGGCUAUAUAAAAACAAGUUGAUCAGUCUACACAUAUCAAUUCACAUAUGUAUGUGCAAUUUUUUUUUAUAUGAUUUUUGUUAUAAUGCUAGAUCUCAAAACAAAGCUUUAUUUGUUAAUUGGUAUUGUUUCAGUAUAAAGUUUGUGUUCUCCUUUGUUAAUUAACUUUUGUAGGAUAGACAUUUAAUGUUUUUGUUGUGUAUAACCUAUUUUUUUAUUGUGUAUGGUUAUCAAUAUUGAAUUCAUACAUAAAUCUUAUAUGAUUUUUACUGUACCUCAAUCAUAUUAUUUUAUUAUCAGUAAUAUAUUAUUCAAAUACUCUAGUCAUUUACAUAAAUUUGUUGUUUUCUAACCAUGCAUAAUUGUUAAACUAAAUCAUGUAAAUAGCCUUAGUUCUGUGAUUUUACAUAUUUAAUGAUGUGUUUUUCAUGUUUGCAUAAUACAUGUACAUUUUCAUUUACUUUUGUUUAAACUUUUAUUUACUGUAUUGUUUUUGUUGUCAGUUGUGUAUGAAUCUAUUAAACAUUUAGUGAUAGCUAAUAGUCUGGAAAGAGAUUUGCAUAUCUUUAUUUCAAUUUAAAAACUGCAGGUUAUUUUAAGGUUGUUUAUUGCUAUUGUGAUUUUCAAAUAUGUGAAUAUGGUUGUGAUGUGCUGCAAUCCAAGUCGUUUUUGUAGAAAGUUGUUACAGUAUUACCUAGUCAUUUUAUGUUGGUAAAGAUGUAUAUCUGCAUUUAUAUUUUUGUGUUGUUUUUAUCAGAAACAUGAGUUCCUUCUAGUCAGAAACAAUGUGUUGCAAAAUAAGCCCUAUUAUAGUUCUCUUAUAUUUUGUUUUGUUUUUUUGUAUUGUGACUUGGG